RNAcentral lists this ribosomal RNA (460 nucleotides) under uncultured bacterium. RNAcentral's name for it is "partial 16S ribosomal RNA". It matches the Rfam family "Bacterial small subunit ribosomal RNA", at positions 338 to 795 of the family's 1533-position model. The record is from RNAcentral.
CCUACGGGUGGCAGCAGUGGGGAAUAUUGGUCAAUGGGCGAGAGCCUGAACCAGCCAAGUCGCGUGAGGGAAGACGGUCCUACGGAUUGUAAACCUCUUUUGUCAGGGAGCAAGGAGCGCCACGAGUGGUGCGGCGGGAGUACCUGAAGAAGAAGCAUCGGCUGACUUCGUGCCAGGGGCCGCGGUAAUACCGGGGAUGCGAGCGUUCUACGGAUUUGUUGGGGUGAACGGGGGCGCAGGCGGAAGAGGUAAGGCAGCGGUAAAAUUGCAUGGCUCAACCUUGGCGAGCCGUUGAAACUGGUCUGCUAGAGUGGACGAGAGGAAUGCGGAAUGCGUGGUGUAGCGGUGAAAUGCGUAGAUAUCACGCAGAACUCCGAUGGCGAAGGCAGCAUUCUGGAGUCCAACUGACGCUGAGGCACGAAAGCGUGGGUAGCGAACAGGAUUAGAUACCCCGGUAGUC